UACGUAGGUCCCGAGCGUUGUCCGGAUUUAUUGGGCGUAAAGCGAGCGCAGGUGGUUUAUUAAGUCUGGUGUAAAAGGCAGUGGCUCAACCAUUGUAUGCAUUGGAAACUGGUAGACUUGAGUGCAGGAGAGGAGAGUGGAAUUCCAUGUGUAGCGGUGAAAUGCGUAGAUAUAUGGAGGAACACCAGUGGCGAAGGCGACGAUCUGGCCUGCAACUGACGCUCAGUCCCGAAAGCGUGGGGAGCAAAUAGG
Molecule: ribosomal RNA, 252 nt
Filed under: uncultured bacterium
Lineage: Bacteria
Description: partial 16S ribosomal RNA
Rfam family: Bacterial small subunit ribosomal RNA
Source: RNAcentral